RNAcentral lists this ribosomal RNA (516 nucleotides) under uncultured bacterium. Its description in RNAcentral is "partial 16S ribosomal RNA". It matches the Rfam family "Bacterial small subunit ribosomal RNA", at positions 28 to 523 of the family's 1533-position model. The record is from RNAcentral.
GAUGAACGCUGGCGGCGUGCCUAAUACAUGCAAGUCGAACGCAUUGAGAGAAGUGCUUGCACUUUUCAAUUUGAGUGGCGAACGGGUGAGUAACACGUGGGCAACCUACCUGAUAGCGGGGGAUAACGAGUGGAAACAUUCGCUAAUACCGCAUAACAAUAGAGAAGGCAUCUUCUUUAUUUAAAAGGCGCUUUCAAGCGUCACUAUCAGAUGGGUCCGCGGUGCAGUAGUUAGUUGGUGGGGUGAAGGACUACCAAGACGAUGAUGCAUAGCAGAGUUGGGAGACUGAUCGGCCGCAGUGGAACUGAGACACGGCCCAAACUCCUACGUGAGGCUGCAGUAGGGAAUCUUCCACAAUGGACGAAAGUCUGAUGGAGCAACGCCGCGUGUGUGAUGAAGGCGUUCGGGUCGUAAAGCACUGUUGUAUGGGAAGAAAUGCUAGGCUAGGAAAUGAGCUUAGUUUGACGGUACCAUACCAGAAAGGGACGGCUAAAUACGUGCCAGCCGCCGCCGUAA